RNAcentral lists this long non-coding RNA (601 nucleotides) under Mytilus galloprovincialis (Mediterranean mussel). Lineage: Eukaryota; Metazoa; Mollusca; Bivalvia; Mytilida; Mytilidae. The record is from RNAcentral.
CUGGAUUACAUGUAAAUAAAACAGAUUUGUAAAUAAAUGUAUAUAAUAAAGUGCUAUUUUAUAACCUUUUAAGGAAGUUAGCGUACAAAAAAUAUCAAUCAGUGUGCAAAAGUAAUCAACUGCAUUAAUCUUGAAUUAUAUACUGUGGACUCAUUAUUAUUCGCUGAAUACCAAUUUUGUGGAGUUUGUUGGUACAGGUGAACCACGAAAAUUAAAUGGUUAACGAAUGACAAAUUUUCUAUUGGCUUGUAUGCAUUCUUAGGCAAAACCACGAAAUUAAAUGUCCACGAAUAUGUAAGUUUUCCUCAAUUCAGGAAAAUUGGUACCCACGAAAAUAACUGAAUCCACAGUAAUUCCUUUUCUGAAUGUUUAAUAUGGAUUUGUAUAUUUAUUUGGUCAUUUUUUUAAACUAACAAAAAAAUACCUCACACUUGUCUAUUGUUUUCUCUUUAAUGUAUUUUUGUGUAAAAACUCAUGACUGCAUUACUGAAUUUGAAAUUAUAUCUGGAGUUCUCUAAAUCAAGUUAUAAUACUAUAUCUACUAAUUUCUGUUUAGCAAUAGCUUGAAAGUUUUCUCUUUUAGCUGAUGAAGACAUUUUUU